RNAcentral lists this ribosomal RNA (301 nucleotides) under uncultured bacterium. RNAcentral's name for it is "partial 16S ribosomal RNA". It matches the Rfam family "Bacterial small subunit ribosomal RNA", at positions 509 to 808 of the family's 1533-position model. The record is from RNAcentral.
CAGCAGCCGCGGUAAAACGGGGGGGGCAAGUGUUAUUCGGAAUGACUGGGCGUAAAGGGCACGUAGGCGGUGAAAAGGGUGGAAAGUGAAAGUCGCCAAAACACUGGCGGGGUGCUUUCUUGACCAUUUCACUUGAGUGAGAUAGGGGAGAGUGGAAUUUCGUGUGGAGGGAUCAAAUCCUAAGAUAUACGAAGGAACGCCAACCGCGAAGGCAGCUCUCUGGGUCCCCACUGACGCUGGGGUGCGAAAGCAUGGGGAGCAAACAGGAUCAGAUACCCCAGUAGUCCCUGUCUCUUAUACA